GAUGAACGCUAGCUACAGGCUUAACACAUGCAAGUCGAGGGGAAACGCCAUCGAAAGCUUGCUUUUGAUGGGCGUCGACCGGCGCACGGGUGAGUAACGCGUAUCCAACCUGCCCAUCACUUGGGAAUAACCUUGCGAAAGUAAGACUAAUACCCAAUGACAUCCCACGAAGACAUCUGAAUGGGAUUAAAGAUUUAUCGGUGAUGGAUGGGGAUGCGUCUGAUUAGCUUGUUGGCGGGGUAACGGCCCACCAAGGCAACGAUCAGUAGGGGUUCUGAGAGGAAGGUCCCCCACAUUGGAACUGAGACACGGUCCAAACUCCUACGGGAGGCAGCAGUGAGGAAUAUUGGUCAAUGGGCGAGAGCCUGAACCAGCCAAGUAGCGUGCAGGAUGACGGCCCUAUGGGUUGUAAACUGCUUUUAUAAGGGAAUAAAGUGGGUCUCGUGAGACUUUUUGCAUGUACCUUAUGAAUAAGGACCGGCUAAUUCCGUG
Molecule: ribosomal RNA, 492 nt
Filed under: uncultured bacterium
Lineage: Bacteria
Description: partial 16S ribosomal RNA
Rfam family: Bacterial small subunit ribosomal RNA
Source: RNAcentral